RNAcentral lists this ribosomal RNA (301 nucleotides) under uncultured bacterium. RNAcentral describes it as "partial 16S ribosomal RNA". It matches the Rfam family "Bacterial small subunit ribosomal RNA", at positions 509 to 807 of the family's 1533-position model. The record is from RNAcentral.
CAGUAGCCGCGGGAAUACGGAAGGUUCGGGCGUUAUCCGGAUUUAUUGGGUUUAAAGGGAGCGUAGGCCGGAGAUUAAGUGUGUUGUGAAAUGUAGACGCUCAACGUCUGACUUGCAGCGCAUACUGGUUUCCUUGAGUACGCACAACGUUGGCGGAAUUCGUCGUGUAGCGGUGAAAUGCUUAGAUAUGACGAAGAACUCCGAUUGCGAAGGCAGCUGACGGGAGCGCCACUGACGCUUAAGCUCGAAGGUGCGGGUAUCGAACAGGAUUAGAUACCCCCGUAGUCCCUGUCUCUUAUAC